RNAcentral lists this unclassified non-coding RNA (516 nucleotides) under Hevea brasiliensis (rubber tree). Lineage: Eukaryota; Viridiplantae; Streptophyta; Magnoliopsida; Malpighiales; Euphorbiaceae. The record is from RNAcentral.
UUUGGAUUUCCAGCCCAUCUGACCGCAAACUCAAAUACUAACUCCUUUUCAUUGGAAUCAUAUACUUUCAUACCAUGCAAUCUAGGAGGAAUUGUUCCAAGAGUAAGUUUCUCAAACUCGAUAGAUUUUAUCUGAUAUUUGCCAAUAUACUCUGCAAAAAUAGGUUCGGAUGUGCUUUUAAUAAUUCCACAAAUUGCCUUGUCAAGAUAAGGCCACAUAUUAGCUAUAAAAUCAUUGAACCAGUUAACCCGCUCAUAGUCUGGAUUCAUCACCCAUAAGGGAAGUUCAGGUAGAAGAUCAACUAACGUGUUUGGCUCAAUUUCAUCAAAUGCUGUACUUUCUGGAUAAUCCUUAACAUCUGUGGGCUCAAAGUAUAUGAACAAAAAAUACCCCACAAUCAAACCAAUCGAAAUUCCAACUCCAAAACCAAGAAUUCCUAAUAAACUUCCAAGAAUCCCCAUUUUCUUUAAUCAUUCAAAAAAAUCAACAAACCCCAUUUAUUAUCAAUAUAUAAAG